UGAUACUGUCUCUCAGUUUUG
Caenorhabditis elegans is the source of this 21-nucleotide non-coding RNA. The record is from Ensembl. Lineage: Eukaryota; Metazoa; Nematoda; Chromadorea; Rhabditida; Rhabditidae.